Molecule: ribosomal RNA, 253 nt
Filed under: uncultured bacterium
Lineage: Bacteria
Description: partial 16S ribosomal RNA
Rfam family: Bacterial small subunit ribosomal RNA
Source: RNAcentral
UACGGAGGGUGCGAGCGUUGUUCGGAAUCACUGGGCGUAAAGCGCGUGUAGGCGGUCUACUAAGUCUGAUGUGAAAGCCCGGGGCUCACCCCCGGAAGUGCAUUGGAAACUGGCAGACUGGAGUCCCGGAGAGGAGGGUGGAAUUCCUGGUGUAGCGGUGAAAUGCGUAGAUAUCAGGAGGAACACCGGUGGCGAAGGCGGCCCUCUGGACGGUGACUGACGCUGAGACGCGAAAGCGUGGGGAGCAAACAGG